This 629-nucleotide long non-coding RNA is filed under the name Saimiri boliviensis boliviensis (Bolivian squirrel monkey). Its description in RNAcentral is "lncRNA (ENSSBOG00000036682.1)". The record is from RNAcentral. Lineage: Eukaryota; Metazoa; Chordata; Mammalia; Primates; Cebidae.
CGUGGCUCGGACUCGAGGGGAGUGGCUAGUUCGCAGGGGCGUGGCUUGGGCUCGCGAAGGCGUCCGAGAUCCAGGGCAGCUCCGAGGCAGAACUGUCCGGAUCUAACAGUCCUUGUGGAGUCGGAGACCGGUGGCCGGUUUGUGGGCUGACUCAGGGCUCCUAAGGAGACACAGGCGGGCCGUGAGGGCAGGUGAAGGGGGCUAGACGUGCGAUCCUGGUAAGCAGAAGUGGGAGGGCAGAGAGGAAAGGGCAGAGCGGGGACCGGGCCUCUGACGCUCGCCUGGUUCCCCCCAGCCGCCGGACCCACAGGCCAUGCGGCCCCCGCUGUUGCUGCUGCUGCUGCUGCUGCUCCCUGCCGCCCCGGUCCCCAUCGCCAAGGCCGCUCCCCUCCUGGAUGCGAACACCCAGGAAGGCUUUCAGAACCUGCUCCAAGGAGUCCAGGCUGGCGGAGACAGAGAGCUGCGGGCAGUCUCAUACCUGGCCCCUGGCUCUGCCUGUAGUAAUGGAGCUGUGAUGGCCGUUCGACCCCCAAGCCAGGGAGGAAGACCUGCGGCUCCGUGAGAGGCGUCCAGGGCUGCAGGCCAAGGCGACAGGCUCCAGGGGACAUGGGGCUUCCCCUGUUCAUUCC